This 468-nucleotide ribosomal RNA is filed under the name uncultured bacterium. RNAcentral's name for it is "partial 16S ribosomal RNA". It matches the Rfam family "Bacterial small subunit ribosomal RNA", at positions 28 to 507 of the family's 1533-position model. The record is from RNAcentral.
GACGAACGCUGGCGGCGUGCUUAACACAUGCAAGUCGAACGGAAAGGCCCUGCUUUUGUGGGGUGCUCGAGUGGCGAACGGGUGAGUAACACGUGAGUAACCUGCCCUUGACUUUGGGAUAACUUCAGGAAACUGGGGCUAAUACCGUAUAGGAGCUCCUGCUGCAUGGUGGGGGUUGGAAAGUUUCGGCGGUUGGGGAUGGACUCGCGGCUUAUCAGCUUGUUGGUGGGGUAGUGGCUUACCAAGGCUUUGACGGGUAGCCGGCCUGAGAGGGUGACCGGCCACAUGGGGACUGAGAUAGGGCCCAGACUCCUACGGGAGGCAGCAGGGGGGAAUAUUGCACAAUGGGCGGAAGCCUGAUGCAGCAACGCCGCGUGCGGGAUGACGGCCUUCGGGUUGUAAACCGCUUUCGCCUGUGACGAAGCGUGAGUGACGGUAAUGGGUAAAGAAGCACCGGCUAACUACGUG